UGACUUACUGAUAACAUUUUAAUUCGUAGUUCUAUCACUUCACAGUUGAGAAAAUACAGAAUUUGCAGAUUAAUAUUUUCUUAGCAUGAUUGGAUCCUAAAACGUUGAAAUUUUCAAAAUGUCUUCUUACUAUUUGUAAAUGGCAUUCACUCUGUUUACUGGCUAAAAUGUUGUCUAUGUUCAUAUCUUACUAACCUGCUGAUUUUUCCAAUAAAAUUAAUUAAAAAAAAAAAAAGGAAAGAAAUGCAACUUCUAGGUCUCUCACCUUGAGCUGCGGUUCAGCUGUUGGGCUAAGAUCACAGAGGAGAGCAGUGGCCGCUGGGCCAAGAUCACAGAGGAGAGCAGUGGCCGCUGGGCCAAGAUCACAGAGGAGAGCAGUGGCCGCUGGGCUAAGGUCAGAGGAGAGCAGUGGCCGCUGGGCUAAGAUCACAGAGGAGAGCAGUGGGACCAGAAGCUGUUGAACCAGCAGUCAGCGGCCUGAUACAAUACGUUUGCCUGCAGCAGUAACGACUCCCUUGCCCUCUGGCUGAAGUUAUGCCAGCUCGGGGAUGCACGUUCAGUGUAGCUGUUAAUUCUCCUCUCGGGACACGCACAUCACUUAGUGGAGUGCCCGGUUCCUGUCCCAGCUACUCUGCUUCUUCUUCUUCU
This 648-nucleotide long non-coding RNA is filed under the name Oryctolagus cuniculus (rabbit). RNAcentral's name for it is "lncRNA (ENSOCUG00000033306.1)". The record is from RNAcentral. Lineage: Eukaryota; Metazoa; Chordata; Mammalia; Lagomorpha; Leporidae.